AAACAGUUGAUGAUCCCUGCCACCAUAGAGCUUGCUUCAAGUUGCUUCUGAGUUAACUUUCUAUGGACCAUCUGAACUGUUUACAUACAUCCCAUCCUCGAGCACUUUUCCUGUGCAGCUUCCCAAGGGGGAAAUUUUUUCUCCCUGGCUACAUGAUCCAGGACUGUUUCUGCCAUGCGUGUUACUCAUUGCCAUGGUGCUUAUGACAGUGAAGGAAAGAGUCUCACUUUGUCGCCCAGGCUGGAGUACAGUGGUGCGAUCUUGGCUCUCUGCAACCUCUGCCUCCCAGGUUCAAGUAAUUCUCCUGCCUCAGCCUCCCGAGUAGCUGGUACUACAGGCACACAUUUGUAGAGAUGGUGUUUCCCCAUGUCAUCCAGGCUGGUCUGGAACUCCUGGGAUCAAGUAAUCCACCCGCCUCGGCCUCCCAAAGUGCUGGGAUUACAGACGUGAGCCACCACGCCCUGCCAAUAAAAAGAUUAUCUCCAGAUGCUGGAAUGACCAGUAAUUUAUUUUCUUCCUUUUUUUUUGUCUGCACUUUCUACCAUAAUCAUAUGUUAGCUUCUUACUAAGAAGAAAAGUCAAUGUUAUUUCCCUGAAAAAGUAAUGUUGUUUGGUUAUUAAACAAAUUUAAUUUUCUAAACAAGAGUACGACAGGUAAACUGCCUACCUUAAAAGCAAACGAACACAAAUAAAUAAACUAACCAUCUUCCACUUCAGUCUCUGUCCUUUCACCAGAGUUGCUGAUCAGCCCAGAAUGGACUGAUUUGAAUUUGCUUAGUUGUUCAUUCAUUCAUUUAUUU
Molecule: long non-coding RNA, 800 nt
Filed under: Homo sapiens (human)
Lineage: Eukaryota; Metazoa; Chordata; Mammalia; Primates; Hominidae
Description: HSALNT0292818
Source: RNAcentral